UAGGGAAUCUUCCACAAUGGGCGCAAGCCUGAUGGAGCAACGCCGCGUGAGUGAAGAAGGUCUUCGGAUCGUAAAACUCUGUUGUUAGAGAAGAACACGAGUGAGAGUAACUGUUCAUUCGAUGACGAUAUCUAACCAGCAAGUCACGGCUAACUACGUGCCAG
Molecule: ribosomal RNA, 164 nt
Filed under: uncultured bacterium
Lineage: Bacteria
Description: partial 16S rRNA
Rfam family: Bacterial small subunit ribosomal RNA
Source: RNAcentral